Harpegnathos saltator (Jerdon's jumping ant) is the source of this 1619-nucleotide long non-coding RNA. RefSeq lists it as uncharacterized. Lineage: Eukaryota; Metazoa; Arthropoda; Insecta; Hymenoptera; Formicidae. The transcript has 4 exons. The record is from RefSeq and is a predicted model, not a curated record.
UCCCGGGCCCGGCGACGUCGACGUUCGCAAAUUGCAUCGUUACAACGGUCCGCCGCGAGGAUGACGUAUUAAAUUAAAUCGUCAUCAACGCGACGCGAGAACGCGGCCUGGGGCCGGACGGGCGGGUGUGCGGCGGCGAUGACGUCGAGAGGCCGCGAAAACAAUUGAUAACGAUGGCGCGCGCGAUAAAUACACGGGAACACGGCGGGCCAUCCGCGAUAACGGAUAGUGCAGCCGGCUAUCGGGCUCGGAUAGUUUGCCGCAGCGCGAGCGAGCGAGCAAGCGCGCACGUGUGCGUGCAAAUAUUAACUUUUGUCGUUCGAGCGUGCCGUUUAGAGACAACGUUUAUCUGAUAUCGACGAAUAAAUCAUCCGCGAGCAUUUCGAGCGGGCGCGCGCGCGCGCGAGCGAGCGGCCGGCGCCAACUUUUCCGCGCGAAAUUCGCUUCGGAUCGAUCGGCGAGAACGCGAGAGCGAGAGCGAGUGUGUGGAGUAUGUUAUCGUCCUGGGACGUUGUCCUCCGAGGACGUGAAAUGAUCCGGAAAAUUUAAUGAAGCAAAUUAAGCUCGGUUGUGUACGCAUGACACCGUGCAAAUUUUACGACUGUGACGUCGCCUCAGAUUAAACACGAUUAGACACGAAUAAGACUCGAUGUGAUUCUGAGAGCUCGCGCGCUACCUUCCUUCUGGGCGUUGGAUUUAUUUUCACAGAGGGAGAGAGAGAGAGAGAGAGAGAGAGAGAGAAGAUUAACUUCCGCCAUUUGAGGACGUGCUCUUUGAGGACGACGUUUAUCCAGUAUCGACGAAUAAAUCAUUCAUGCGCUCCCGCGCAUUUCGAGCGCUCGUUCGUUCGCGCAAGCUUUUCUCCCUCAUUACACAACGUGAGAAUGAGCGUGAAAUUUCCACGGAUCGCGGCAAGUGAGCGAGUAGCGCUUCUUAUUGAUCUAGGCUACACCCUUUGAGAACAUACAGUGAUUACAAAACUCGACAUUGACUGACACAGAGAUUAAGUGACAACGACUACUACUACGACGACGACGAGGACGUAAAAUCGGGAUGGACAACAGGGUUAGAGGGAGAAAGAAACGAGGAAGAAAAAAAGAAAGUGUGAGAAGAGGGCCGAGGGAAAAAGGGAGGGAGAGAGGGAGGGAGACAAGACAGCGGAAAAAAGAGGAAGCCGGAGGCCGGCUUAGGACGCACCAGCAGGCUCGAGUAGAAUGGAAUUUUUAAUUAGGCUCUCGGGGACAAGCUGCCAUUUACCGAGCCGUGAUCUGGCCGAACGGGACGGUAAUAUCCUAGAGAAGGAUUGUGCUGGAGCGAGCGAGUAUCUUUCACGUGAUAUUUCUUCGGUGGCGAGCGCAAUCGAUCGAUACGCAAUACGUGUAUGCGAGCAGAGAUAAGGACACCACGGUUCGGCACUCCCGCAGUAUUUAAUGAUUCCAAACCCUCUCUACUGUGUACCUUCGAAUAAUAAUCUCCAGUUUUCCCAAUCGCGUCGAUACACGCGAGGAGGAAAAAGCGGAGAGCAUUCGCCGGAAAAAAAUCAACAAAGAAAACGAAAUAACUUGAAGCGCGUUCGCGUGCUUUGCACUUUGCUCAGACGGUCGAUACUCCACUUACCU